Molecule: ribosomal RNA, 750 nt
Filed under: uncultured bacterium
Lineage: Bacteria
Description: bacterial SSU rRNA
Rfam family: Bacterial small subunit ribosomal RNA
Source: RNAcentral
ACGCUGGCGGCAGGCCUAACACAUGCAAGUCGAGCGGUAGCACAGGAGAGCUUGCUCUCUGGGUGACGAGCGGCGGACGGGUGAGUAAUGUCUGGGAAACUGCCUGAUGGAGGGGGAUAACUACUGGAAACGGUAGCUAAUACCGCAUGACCUCGCAAGAGCAAAGUGGGGGACCUUCGGGCCUCACGCCAUCGGAUGUGCCCAGAUGGGAUUAGCUAGUAGGUGGGGUAAUGGCUCACCUAGGCGACGAUCCCUAGCUGGUCUGAGAGGAUGACCAGCCACACUGGAACUGAGACACGGUCCAGACUCCUACGGGAGGCAGCAGUGGGGAAUAUUGCACAAUGGGCGCAAGCCUGAUGCAGCCAUGCCGCGUGUGUGAAGAAGGCCUUAGGUUGUAAAGCACUUUCAGCGAGGAGGAAGGCGUUGUAGUUAAUAGCUGCAGCGAUUGACGUUACUCGCAGAAGAAGCACCGGCUAACUCCGUGCCAGCAGCCGCGGUAAUACGGAGGGUGCAAGCGUUAAUCGGAAUUACUGGGCGUAAAGCGCACGCAGGCGGUUUGUUAAGUCAGAUGUGAAAUCCCCGAGCUUAACUUGGGAACUGCAUUUGAAACUGGCAAGCUAGAGUCUUGUAGAGGGGGGUAGAAUUCCAGGUGUAGCGGUGAAAUGCGUAGAGAUCUGGAGGAAUACCGGUGGCGAAGGCGGCCCCCUGGACAAAGACUGACGCUCAGGUGCGAAAGCGUGGGGAGCAAAC